AGAGUUUGAUCAUGGCUCAGGAUGAACGCUAGCGGCAGGCUUAACACAUGCAAGUCGAGGGGUAUAGGUUUUCGGACCUAGAGACCGGCGCACGGGUGCGUAACGCGUAUGCAAUCUACCUUUUACAGAGGGAUAGCCCAGAGAAAUUUGGAUUAAUACCUCAUAGUAUUAUUUAAUGGCAUCAUUUAAUAAUUAAAGUUCCAACGGUAAAAGAUGAGCAUGCGUCCCAUUAGCUAGAUGGUAAGGUAACGGCUUACCAUGGCAACGAUGGGUAGGGGUCCUGAGAGGGAGAUCCCCCACACUGGUACUGAGACACGGACCAGACUCCUACGGGAGGCAGCAGUGAGGAAUAUUGGUCAAUGGGCGCAAGCCUGAACCAGCCAUGCCGCGUGCAGGAUGACGGUCCUAUGGAUUGUAAACUGCUUUUGUACAGGAAGAAACAGUUCUACGUGUAGAACCUUGACGGUACUGUAAGAAUAAGGAUCGGCUAACUCCGUGCCAGCAGCCGCGGUAAUACGGAGGAUCCAAGCGUUAUCCGGAAUCAUUGGGUUUAAAGGGUCCGUAGGCGGUUUUGUAAGUCAGUGGUGAAAGCCCAUCGCUCAACGGUGGAACGGCCAUUGAUACUGCAAGACUUGAAUUACUAGGAAGUAACUAGAAUAUGUAGUGUAGCGGUGAAAUGCUUAGAUAUUACAUGGAAUACCAAUUGCGAAGGCAGGUUACUACUAGUGGAUUGACGCUGAUGGACGAAAGCGUGGGGAGCGAACAGGAUUAGAUACCCUAGUAGUCC
This 787-nucleotide ribosomal RNA is filed under the name uncultured bacterium. Its description in RNAcentral is "bacterial SSU rRNA". It matches the Rfam family "Bacterial small subunit ribosomal RNA", at positions 8 to 796 of the family's 1533-position model. The record is from RNAcentral.